Molecule: long non-coding RNA, 2214 nt
Filed under: Olea europaea (common olive)
Lineage: Eukaryota; Viridiplantae; Streptophyta; Magnoliopsida; Lamiales; Oleaceae
Description: long non-coding RNA (OEUR_LNC008644)
Source: RNAcentral
UGCAAUAUCACAAGGACUCGAAUCUAUAAACAUAAUAAAAUAUUAGAAUUCUAUGCUAUACCAUAGUAGAAUAAUUAGAUGUAUAACUAAUUGUAAAUUUUCAUAUAAUUACCAUACCUCGUGUGUAGACAAAAUUGUUUUUAUAUUUGCCUCGGCUUCCAUUUGUGCAUUCUUGAAAUUUGUAAUGUCUUGUAUCUCCUUCGUCUAAAUUUCUUUCCAAUCUUGAAAAAUGCUUUAUAUAUCCAAAACUACAAAAUGAAAUUGAAAGUAAAUAUUAAAUAUAUACAACAUUAAACUAAAGAAUACAUAAAAAUUUAGUUAAAAAAAUACAUGAAAAGCAAGAUGAUAUUCAUGUAGCGAAUAUUUACACUCCGUUUGCUCAGCUUGUUACAUUCUCAAUAUUCUUUCAAAGUGUGAUUGUUGCAAUGAAUUCAACAAACAAAGUAUGUCUUCUUGCCCCAUGGAUACAAAAGAAAAUCGUCAAACUGCUCAACCAUACCUAGCAUUCUGUAAUCAAUAUGUCUUUCAAUUGGUUUGAGAGCACACUCUAUCAACAUAACCAAUCCAAGUUUGAAUUUAUUUUCUUGAUUUUCACAUAAAUUGAAGGCAUCAUGGAGCAUUCUCAUAGAAAUCCUUUUCACACCAUUGAAAUACUGGUUUCUAAGCCGAGGAUUACUAAAGUCAAGAUUAACAGAUAGUUCGCAGCAAGGUAGUCCAAUCAUUAAGCAAAAUUCUUGCAUUCUGAAACGGGCAAGAUGGUCAUCAAAUCUUACCCACACUUCAUUGUUUUUAUGGAAAUUCACAAUCCUCAUUAUGAAUUCAUGUAUCAACUAGCUACUAAAUUGUUACUCUUCGUCUCUAUACAUGAAUUCAUAUAGAAAUCCAUGAAAAUUACUGCACAUUAAUAAUGCUUGUUCAUCUGCUUGUAACAAUUCUAUCAAAUCUCUAACGUGUUGAUGAUUUGGAUAUUGACGAACAGUAGCACAGAACCAUUGGUCUUGAGAUAAGACAUAAUCUAGAGACAUCUGCAUCAAAUAACAAAACUUAUUUAAAAAUAAUAUUUAGAGAAAUCGUGAUUACAAAUAAAAAUUAAAACAUAUCUUACACAAAUAUUUUUCGCUUUAUCCACAUAACUAAUUAAUAGAUAAAUAUUUAUUGCUAUAAAAAAAUUUACCUCGGAGCAUAUAUAGUUCUGGACAAUCACAUGAGAUUUGGAGGGAUUGGUUGAUUUUAAAGAUAAAUCAAUUAAACUAUAAGAAAAUAUAUGAAAAGUACUCUAAUUAGACAUAAGCUUUUUAGUAUUAGAAAUAAGAUUAUCUAAACAAAAUAUUCAAAUUAUUUUUGGUUUUAUGUUAAUUGAAGUAUCUUUUAAUAAUGAAUAAAGUAAAUCAAGAUAAUAUAGUUUUAGUUUGAGUAUGAUAGGAAAUCCUAUAAUCACAAGUGCUAUAUCAAGUCUAAAGUUAAUUAUACAGCUUAUUACUAGAACUUUUGAUUUAGAUUAACUUUAUUCAUCGGAUUUUAGCACUUACCUACUUGUUUUGCUAUGUCAAUAAGUCAAGAGUUGGCGAAAACCUUUGCUCCAUUUUAGAAAGAAACCAGAAGUUAUCAAUAUGUGCUAUAUCCCUCGACCCUUGCAAUUGAUAAAUACAAGCAAGUUCACUCAUCAUAGCCUAAAUUCCCAGAAAACUCUGAAUCGUGAAGGUUUUGUGCUUACAUUCAUACUGGUAAAAGAUACAAAAGCUUUUCUACUAUGGAAAAUUUAAAGAAUAAAGAGCCAAUAGCUUUAUUCAACCUAACAUACUCAACAAAACAAAACAUUUAUUUUUUAAAAUAAAAGAAGACAGUAUAAACACCAAAAAUUAGCAAUCAAAAUUCAGCUAGACCAUAUUAACACAACAAAAGUCCGUAGAAAAUAACUUUUUCACCAAAAAAUUUUCACAGCAGCAGGAAAACAAAUUAACUACAACAAAAUAACAAAAAUAAAAUCUUGUAGACUAAAUAAUUACCUUGUAAUUUGUUUUCCUGAAAUUGACUUAAGAUUUUGGGACGAAAGAUGAAAAAUCCAGCUAUAAGAAAACUGAAACAAAACUGAAGUUCAGCUAAGAAAUGAAAAAUUCAGCAAAGAAUGACAUUUCUUUUGUUCUUUCUUUCUUUUAUUCACGUGAAACAACUUUUCAGAACUUUCACUUUCACGUGAAUUCUCUUGACUUUGCC